GUCAUGCCUGGUGACGGGCUUGCUUCUGUUCUGGUUCCACGUACUCCCAGAGAUGGCUGCUUACUCGACCCAGGGCUGGAGGGUAGAGGGAUCUGUAGGGAAUCGCUAGCUGGCCCUCUGGUCCCUCCUGGUCAGGCCUUGGCCUGGCUAAGUGUUCCUGAGUGGCAAAUUCUGAGUGCCUCUGUCCCGGGAGCCCGUGAGGUCAGAGGAUUCUCACAACAAUGGUGUCUGCACUGGUUUCCUGUUUCAGAUGUACAUAGCUCUCAUUUCCUUGCACGCCCUCAUCAUGGUGGGAUUCCACUUCCUGCAUUGCUUUGAAGAAGAUUGGACAACCUAUGGACUGAACAGGGAAGAAAUGGCAGAGACUGGAAUCUCUCUUCAUGAAAAAAUGCAGCCCCUUAACGUCAGUUCAACAGAGUGCAGCUCAUUCUCUCCACCCACCACGGUGAUUCUACUCAUCCUGCUGUGCUUUGAGGGCCUGCUCUUCCUCAUUUUCACAUCAGUGAUGUUUGGGACCCAGGUACACUCCAUCUGCACAGAUGAGACGGGAAUAGAACAAUUGAAAAAGGAAGAGAGAAGAUGGGCUAAAAAAACAAAAUGGAUGAACAUGAAAGCCGUUUUUGGCCACCCCUUCUCUCUAGGCUGGGCCAGCCCCUUUGCCACGCCAGACCAAGGGAAGGCAGACCCGUACCAGUAUGUGGUCUGAAGGACCCCGACCAGCAUGGCCACUCAGACACAAGUCCACACCACAGCACUACCGUCCCAUCCGUUCUCAUGAAUGUUUAAAUCGAAAAAGCAAAACAACUACUCUUAAAACUUUUUUUAUGUCUCAAAAUGGCUGAGCAUUGCAGAGAAAAAAAAAAAGUCCC
Molecule: small RNA, 869 nt
Filed under: Pongo abelii (Sumatran orangutan)
Lineage: Eukaryota; Metazoa; Chordata; Mammalia; Primates; Hominidae
Description: retained intron
Source: RNAcentral